Thalassophryne amazonica is the source of this 92-nucleotide long non-coding RNA. RefSeq lists it as uncharacterized. The transcript is spliced from 3 exons. The record is from RefSeq and is a predicted model, not a curated record. NCBI's taxonomy places the organism in Eukaryota, Metazoa, Chordata, Actinopteri, Batrachoidiformes, Batrachoididae.
GUUGUCUGGGUUACACAUUCACUGGAUGUAUUUUUAAUGCUGGCUGCACCAGUUAGAGCACAACAGGAAGAACAUCUGACUGUACAUCUCUU